UACGUAGGGGGCAAGCGUUAUCCGGAUUUACUGGGUGUAAAGGGAGCGCAGACGGAAAGCCAAGUCUGAUGUGAAAUGUCCGGGCUCAACCCGGGAACUGCAUUGGAAACUGGUUAUCUAGAGUGCAGGAGAGGUAAGUGGAAUUCCUAGUGUAGCGGUGAAAUGCGUAGAUAUUAGGAGGAACACCGGUGGCGAAGGCGGCUUACUGGACUGUAACUGACGUUGAGGCUCGAAAGCGUGGGGAGCAAAC
Molecule: ribosomal RNA, 250 nt
Filed under: uncultured prokaryote
Description: partial 16S ribosomal RNA
Rfam family: Bacterial small subunit ribosomal RNA
Source: RNAcentral